This 363-nucleotide transfer-messenger RNA is filed under the name Fibrobacteria. RNAcentral's name for it is "JADFYW01 sp015232855 Standard tmRNA". It matches the Rfam family "transfer-messenger RNA". Rfam says of the family: Bacterial tmRNA, also known as 10Sa RNA or SsrA, is named for its dual tRNA and mRNA-like properties. Its role is to liberate the mRNA from a stalled ribosome. RNAcentral also lists the same sequence under 1 other name. Lineage: Bacteria; Pseudomonadati; Fibrobacterota. The record is from RNAcentral.
GGGGGCGCUAAGGUUUCGACGGGUAUGAUGAAGUGAAAGUUGCAUGCAGAGGUCCCGGUUGGCCUCUUAAAAAAACCGGAAAAACCAAUAAGUGCAGAAGAUUAUUCUUAUGCAAUGGCUGCCUAGUAAUAGGCUGGCCACGAUCUGAGUGUUCCUGUCUGGGGGGCACAAAAGAUCGCCAUAUAAUUCAGACUGGGUCAAUGUGAUGUUUAGGCGCGGCGACCGAGAACUUACUAAACUAGCGACCUGUUAAGCUGGCUUUCAGAGCGGAACAGUGGGCGAAUCUUAAAACGGAAGAAAAGCAUGUAGGAGCGAUUAUGGAGUUACAUUCGGACGCGGGUUCGAUUCCCGCCGCCUCCACCA